Bombus terrestris (buff-tailed bumblebee) is the source of this 4160-nucleotide long non-coding RNA. RefSeq lists it as uncharacterized. Lineage: Eukaryota; Metazoa; Arthropoda; Insecta; Hymenoptera; Apidae. The transcript is spliced from 10 exons. The record is from RefSeq and is a predicted model, not a curated record.
AGUGUUUCUUACGCCCUCUGCAUUUUUUACGGUGAACACAAGGCAAAGAUGAUAAAGUCGGCAUAGUCCGGAAGGCAGUAAAUAUUUAACGAUCACUUAUUUUCGCAUCCUAAUUUCGAGGUUAUUUAGGUAGAAUUAUUUAAGAAAUGAAAAAACUGUCUAAGGCUUUUUACCUUCACCAGACCUGGGAUCGGUAAGACUAGGAAUUGGAGCGUAAAAAAAUCGCAGAUGCGAACUAAAUAAUUAUGUAAAAACGGACGUACUUAUCUCGACUCGUCUUGUACCAUGGCACGCAAAGCUGUACAGAAGGAGAGGGCGUUGGACACGAACUGAAAUGAUAUCAACCAGUUAUUUAUAUACGUAUUAUUCGUAAUUAACCUGUUAAUCAGAGAAAGUUUCUUCUCUGCGGACCAGUGCAUAUUAUAUAUUUAUAUCCAAACAGAGAAUAAGAAUGCAAGGAAAUAUAAAAACAUAUAUGCUGACAAAACAUUACGUAAAUAUCGAUAGUCUAUUGACUAUUAUAAUUGACAAAAGAGACAUUGGUUUCUCUUACCGAACAAAAGAAACGCAAAUUAAGUUCCGGCAUAAAACAACCGACAGAAAGUGUUACCGGUUUUUGAUGAACCAACACGUUGAGCAUGUAUUUUCGUAUUUCUGAAGACUGUUCGUACCAGUCCAUGUCGUAUACGCUUUGCGAAACGUUCACACUCUGAAAAUUAUGCAAGAUUAAUUAUAUGCGACAAAAAUAUAAUUUAAUUUAUAACGUAAGGAAUUUUGUAAAAGAUAGAAAUAUUAAUCUUAGAAAUAUUAUCAACAUUGUAAUCAAUCGAACAGCUUCGACGAUGGAUAUUUUAUUGCGUAUUUUUUAUAUGGAAGUCUAUGUGUUUUAAAAUCCGACGACAGUUGAAAAUAAUUUCCAGUGAGGAGGACGAGAAGUUCCAUUUUGAUUUGGUCUGCGUUUGACAAUAAGUCUGUGUCGAUAUGUUACCAAAUAAUUCGAAGAUAUGCACGGGAUGUUUUUAUCCGAUGCAUGAAACUUUUUACAGUUACUAUCUUUAUAAUAAUCGCACACAGAUACUUACAGCGUCUUGCAAAUAAUCAGCUGGCCACGCAUACAUGAAUGUGAGGAUGAGACAGAAGACACUAGAGUUAACGAGCUCCAUUUUCGUAGUUAUUGGAGAAUCCUGUUUACAAAUUGAAUCACCGAUUCCUUAUACUAUACAUAAAAUACCAGAAGAUUCACAUACCAUUAUCAUCAAAAUCCCACACAGAGCUAUGGUAAACGUCGUCAUUCCCAAAACAUAAAGUACUAUAAAGCGAAAACAACCGACCACUUCCUCCGCGUAUCUAGACAAAGGGAAAUUACUUAAACAAAGAUAAAUGUUUGGCUUAAAUCAAACAACGUAAAACAUUAUCUAUACCUUCUUAAAAACAAUUCUUUCUUAAUACAAAUGAUCAACAUACGAAUAUUCGUAAUUUUCCCAAUUUCCACGACUAAACAUUCGAAUCUUGCAGCGGCGAACCACAUUAAGAGAGCACCAACCACGCCUAUGCAUAAGUGUGCAGUGACGGUGAGACAUACGCUGCUGUGAUGGUUGGAAUCGGUAAGACCAAAGGCCCAACCAUAAAAAAGGUUAGCGACGCAUAAACAGCCACUACAUAAGCACUGUAAAGGACGUUGCAUUUUACUAUAUGUGCGAUGAAAAUUUCUCUUUCGAACUGCUGCGCCUCGUUCACACAUUUCACCAUCUCUCCAAUUAUACGCUACAACAUGUUUCAAACAUCAAUGCUUCCGACGCGAAUUAAUUGCUGAAGGAACGCGAGGUCGAACUUACUUGCAGCGAGUCGCGCUUCUUCCAACAUAUACAAGUCUGAAUAACUAGUUGGGUGGAGUAUAUCGUUAAGGUGAUACAUUUGAAAAGAGCGUCCAAGUAGAAACUUAUAUCGCCUAAGUACAAAUAAAUCGAGUACAACGAAGGCACGAGAAUCAGAAAAGCGUUGAUGACAAUACAGAUUUGUGCAAUUUUGUAACUGCCGCGGUUUCUGUCGCUAUUGUCAGCAGAUGGCCAACAAAAGCUUAAAGCUACACUGAGCCGAGUAAACUGGAUUACAUCUUCCGGCGUUAUUUGUUUCGACAUAAUCUCAACAAACUUUUACAUCUAAUGAAUCGGACUAAACACGUUUCAAUUCGCACAGUAGGGAGAUAUGUCCAGGUUCUGGGGAGCCAGGUGCGAAUCAAUAAAUGAUACUGAAAAUACGCAGGAACAACUCGUGUUUAUUGGAAAGUACGGAGUUCUUGUACUGUUAGAUGCUUCGAUGAACCUUCUUCGAAAAUGGUAUAUGUGCACGAUGCCAUAUAUUUAGUAUCUUGGGCGAUAUGUAUAGCUAAGAGUAAAAUAACAACGAAGUUUUCCAUCUAAACAUCUGGUAGUUGUAUCGACUUAUAUUUCUUUGAGGAUGAGUCUGGAUGAUUUCUCAUGACAUCGUUGUAAAAAACGGGUGAUUUGUGAUUACAAACGUAGCCAAUGCGAAGACAUUUGACGCGGUCGUCUGUCUGUUCAGUACCAUCGAUGGAAAAAAUAAUGGACAACUCGUAACCCUACACAACGAGUAAUUAGAACACUAUCAAAAAACGUAAUGACCGUAGAGUUUUUUUACUGAGUGACGACCUGAUUAACAGGAUAAUUUAUUUAUUUCCCAGUUCUUUGCCUUCGGACUCAUUACACACUUAUAUCGGAUGUAUGUAAAUACGCAACAAGUAAGAAUGCACGAAAGUGUGUAAAUAUAUACACUGUCAAAACGAAUGAUAGUACAUAAAUAUCGAUAAUCUAUUCACGAUCAUGAUUGACAUUGGAGAUAUUGAUUUGCCUUACCGAACAAUAAAAACGUAAAUUAAGCUCUGGCAUAAAGCAACCGACAGAAAGCGUUACUGGUUUCUGAUGGACCAAUACGGUUCGAAGAUCGUUAGUUACAAUUUCGAGUGCAAAGAACAUGAAGUACAAUUUAUAAAUAAAUAUAUAUAUAUAUAUAUAUUUUUUUUUUAACGCAAAAAUUCACGUACGAGAUGCUUUUAUUCGUUUCAUAAACUUUUUCUUUGCCACUUGUCUUGCAAUUAUCGCACAUAAAUACUUACGGCAUCUUGUAAAUAAUCAGCGGGCCACGCAUACAUAAAAGUGAGUAAGAGACAGAAAGCACUAGCGUCGAUGAGCUCCACUUUCGUAGUUACUGGUGAAUCCUGUAAAUGCCAUAAUUUAAAUUCUGCGAAAUUGUAUCAUCGAUUCAUUAUACCGUACAGGAAAUACCAGAAGAUCCACAUACCAUUAUCAAUAAAAUUCCACAUAGAGUUAUAGUAAACGUUGUCAUUCCCAACACAUAAAGUAUUAUGAAGCGAAAACAACCAACCACUUCCUCGGCGUACCUAGAUAGAGGGAAACCGUUUACAACGAACACAAAUGUCUCAGUUAAAUCACACAUGUUUUCUGAAUUUCCACGACUAAACAUUCGAAUCUUACGGCAGCGAACCACAUUAAAAGCGCACCAAACACGCCUAUGCAUAAAUGUGCAGUAACGGCGAGGCACACGCUGCUGUGAUGCAAGUAGACGAUAAAAUUUACUGGCAUAUAAUUCACUUGAAACGGAUACUCCACUUCCACUAGGGUUGGAAUCGGUAGGACUAGAGGUCCAAAUAUAAAAAAGAUUUCGCACUACACAUCACUAUGGGGUUCGAUGCCAUGAUAACUUCCUCCGAGCAAAGGAUAGUGUUAAUAACAAUAUUUCUCGCAUCUAAUGGUGAAUUGCAUACAUUUUUAUUCCUCUGAUCACUCAAUCACAUUUUUUUUAGCGAAUUUUUGUACUUCAUUUAUUAGACCAGGAUAACGUCUCCUUGCAUAUCGCGUCUACGAUGUGAUUAAAAUUUUAUAUCGAUAAUAUUAAUUGGUAUAAUUUGAAUAAAAUCAGGAUUUACUCAAUAUCGAUAUUUGUAAAAGUUGUAAAAAUAAAAAAUAUGAAUAUGAAAUGGCACGAACGGCCAUAGGCUAAUAUUAAUAAGGCUAUGAUAAUAGGGCAGAAUAUGUGUCUUAUACUUUAGUAAUUGAAGUUAAGAAUUCCAUACCACACAUGCUGUAAUGUAAUAAAUAAAAUUUGUGUUCUUUAUAAAUAUA